CCUACGGGUGGCAGCAGUGAGGAAUAUUGGUCAAUGGACGAGAGUCUGAACCAGCCAAGUAGCGUGAAGGAUGACUGCCCUAUGGGUUGUAAACUUCUUUUAUAUGGGAAUAAAAUGUUCCACGUGUGGGAUUUUGUAUGUACCAUAUGAAUAAGGAUCGGCUAACUCCGUGCCAGCAGCCGCGGUAAUACGGAGGAUCCGAGCGUUAUCCGGAUUUAUUGGGGUUAAAGGGAGCGUAGGUGGAUUGUUAAGUCAGUUGUGAAAGUUUGCGGCUCAACCGUAAAAUUGCAGUUGAAACUGACAGUCGUGAGUACAGUAGAGGUGGGCGGAAUUCGUGGUGUAGCGGUGAAAUGCUUAGAUAUCACGAAGAACUCCGAUUGCGAAGGCAGCUCACUGGACUGCAACUGACACUGAGGCUCGAAAGUGUGGGUAUCAAACAGGAUUAGAUACCCUAGUAGUC
This 460-nucleotide ribosomal RNA is filed under the name uncultured bacterium. Its description in RNAcentral is "partial 16S ribosomal RNA". It matches the Rfam family "Bacterial small subunit ribosomal RNA", at positions 338 to 795 of the family's 1533-position model. The record is from RNAcentral.